GGUUACUCCUAGCUCUGCACUAAGAAAUCACUCCUAAGGAACUGAGAGAACCAUAUGUGAUGCCAGGGAUCAAGCCCUAUUCAACCAUAGGUGAGGCCUCUCCUUCCAGAGAGCUUCAGGAGCAGAGAGAAGAAACAGCAGCUGCUUGUUCCUCCAGGGAGGGAAGAAGAUCUCUUUUAUGAUCCACACUUAAUUUUCUGCUCCUGACAUUGAACAUGAUAAAAAAAAAAAAAAAGACUUUGCUCCAUAGAGGAAUUGUGGGUGAAGAGUACUUGAGGAGCUAGCAGAAUGACCAAGGUACUGCUGUGGAAGAUGCUGAAUGGACGUGGGACAAGUUCAGGCAAAGACUGCUUUGCAGGGAUUAUCUGGAAGGGAAACAAUGUAAAAAGUAGGCUGUCUUUAAGAAAUCAAGGACUCCCCAAAAAGCAGCUGUUCUGAUAGUGGGCAGGGAUGAUUUAUACUUCAGCAGCUAGAAUAGCAAACACCAGAUCUCUUCCAUCUGGGCAAUGGAGAGUAAGAUGUUGGCCAGAGGAGCUGAGAUUUUCCACAGUUGGU
This is a long non-coding RNA of Suncus etruscus (white-toothed pygmy shrew), 555 nucleotides long. RefSeq lists it as uncharacterized. The record is from RefSeq and is a predicted model, not a curated record. NCBI's taxonomy places the organism in Eukaryota, Metazoa, Chordata, Mammalia, Eulipotyphla, Soricidae. The transcript is spliced from 3 exons.